GUCCGUCCAACGCAUCGCCGUUGGAGCCGUUUCGGUGGAACGUCAGAAUCUCCUCGUUAACGGUUCCAUGGACGGUCUGUGGCAGUUGACGUCGACCCGUUUGCACGUCAACGGUUUCUUUAAUAUUAAAACCGAUAGACAACCGUAACGUAGUGCACAGGGUUAUUUUACAUUGAUCGACGGUAAAACUCCCGUCGUCGGUAGGCUAGCGUUAGCUGCUAACCUCCCCUUUGUUCACACGGACGACUGGUGAUUUAUCAUUGGAGAAUACUGUAAACACAAACAUGGACUUGAGCCAAACAUGGGCGGAAAGACGGCGAUGUAAAAGCUGUUUUUUUUAGAUUAAUCACAGUGUAGCUGUCAGAGUUGGUCGUAUUUUUCCUCAAAAUAAUUUGCCAGUAUUUUAUGGCCUAUGUUCUUAAACAGGGGUGGCAACGUUAGCUCAUUGGCUAACUCGGCUACACUAGCCUAGCCGACUAUCGUUUAUUUGCAUGGCUGUAGGGGACACUCAAAAUGUCCGCCGACAGAGUCUGUGGAAAUAUUUCGCAUUUCAUCUUUUCGAAAUUUGAAAACCACAAAUGAAAUAUUUCUACGUAUUCCCGGCGUUUAUUCGCCAUAGCCGUUAACUAACAUGCUGCUACUACGGUAAUUUCCGUCUGCUGGCUUUAAUCCAACCGCAUGGUUGAGACCCAGUUAGCAUGUAGCUCCUCAGCUCAAGGAACCAGGCGUGCUUCUUGCUAACGUAGCCGGCCGCGAGUCUACCACGUGUGAACGUGCGGCUUAAAUAGGGCAGUAGGUCUGCCGUUGCUGAACUUUGUCAUGGUGUCAGCGACCAUAUCGCAGUAUGUGAUAUCAUUAUCUCUCUUAUCUCGCACGACAGAAAUAAGGCCCUAAACUUUGAGAAUGACUAUUAUCAUUGAAUUGUAGUAAUUGCUGGCUCAUAGGACACAUGUCGCAUUCAAGAGUGCAGCUGGCAUGAGGCUCCCCAACUAUCAUGAUCUAUUAAAAGGCCACAAAAGUCUUGGGUACAGUCAAAUGGUUCAACGUCAGGAAUGGAUAUGGUUUUAUCAAUAGGAAUGAUACUAAAGAGGACGUUUUUGUACACCAGACAGCCAUCAAAAAGAACAACCCGAGAAAAUACCUUCGCAGUGUUGGAGAUGGAGAAACUGUGGAGUUUGAUGUAGUGGAGGGAGAGAAGGGAGCAGAGGCAGCAAAUGUCACUGGCCCAGGUGGUGUUGCAGUCCAGGGAAGUAAGUACGCCGCUGAUAGGAACCGCUAUAGGCGCUAUCCAAGGCGAAGGGGUCCUCCCCGUGGUGGAGAAUAUCCAGAGAACUACCAGAGUGACGGAGAGGGUGAGCCAGGCAAUGGAGGCCGUGACAAAGGCAGCCGAGAUGGGGGAGAGAGCGCCCCCGAAGGAGACUCACAGCAGCCACAACAGCGCAGACAAGCGUACCCUGGCAGACGGCGUUACCCCCCUUACUUUGGAGGUGAGGGUGACGAGGGCCAAGGAGGUCCAGACCAGGGCAACAAACCAGUGAGGCCGAACUACUACAGAGGCUUCAGAUCAAGCCGGGGUCCACCCCGUCCCAGACCGGUGCGGGACGGUGAGGAGGACAAGGAAAAUCGGGGUUCCGAAGGUGGUCAGGAUCAACAGCCCCGCCAGCGGCGUUACCGUCGCAACUUCAACUACCGCCGCAGACGCCCGACGACCGGUGGCAAACCCGGCCAAGAAAACAAGGAGCCCAAGACAGGAGGUGACCCAUCUGCAGAGAAAACGUCCGCUCCCGAGGCACAGCAGGGUGGGGCCGAGUAGGAAAGAACCUGCCCACCGGCACCUACCAUCUUUUACCAUCGUCCGGUUUUUUUGUCAACAAGAAGAAACAUCAAACAAGAUCUGAGCAAUAAAGAUUUGACUUGACGAUCGUCACAAGCUUGCACCAUGCAUUUGACCAGAUUACCACCGAUUGCCUGCAGAAUCUAUGCAGACCUGUUUUUUUUCCAUUAUUUUUAUGUGACAGCAACAAAACAUUUUAGGGAAACAGCAAAUGUUUUUCUAAAUCGAUCCUAAGUUUUUACACCAAAUGGUUUUUAAAGAAAAAAAAGGAAUUUGAUAUCUGGUCAGUUUGACAUUUUUAAAUAACUUUUUAUGUAUUCAGACAUUUUAACAAAAUGCAAGCUCAAAUAAAAGUCCAGAAACCAGA
RNA transcript from Notolabrus celidotus (New Zealand spotty), 2201 nucleotides. It is a transcript of the gene named Y box binding protein 1, with no coding region annotated. The record is from RefSeq and is a predicted model, not a curated record. The transcript has 8 exons. NCBI's taxonomy places the organism in Eukaryota, Metazoa, Chordata, Actinopteri, Labriformes, Labridae.